CACGCCGUAAACGAUGAAUGCUAGGUGUCGGGGGUCAAACCUCGGUGCCGAAGUUAACACAUUAAGCAUUCCGCCUGGGGAGUACGGUGGCAACACUGAAACUCAAAGGAAUUGACGGGGACCCGCACAAGCAGCGGAGCAUGUGGUUUAAUUCGAUGCAACGCGAAGAACCUUACCAGGACUUGACAUAUAUGCGCUAGCACUAGAGAUAGUGGGUUCUCUUCGGAGACGCAUAUACAGGUGG
RNAcentral lists this ribosomal RNA (244 nucleotides) under uncultured Eubacteriales bacterium. RNAcentral's name for it is "uncultured Clostridiales bacterium partial 16S ribosomal RNA". It matches the Rfam family "Bacterial small subunit ribosomal RNA", at positions 796 to 1041 of the family's 1533-position model. The record is from RNAcentral. Lineage: Bacteria; Bacillati; Bacillota; Clostridia; Eubacteriales.